UACGAAGGGUCCAAGCGUUGUUCGGAAUCAUUGGGCGUAAAGCGCGCGUAGGCGGCUCGGAAAGUCGGUCGUGAAAUGCCGGGGCUCAACCCCGGGACUGCGUCCGAUACUCCCGAGCUGGAGGCAGGUAGGGGAGAUCGGAAUUCCUGGUGUAGCGGUGAAAUGCGCAGAUAUCAGGAGGAACACCGGUGGCGAAGGCGGAUCUCUGGGCCUUGCCUGACGCUGAGGCGCGAAAGCUAGGGGAGCGAACAGG
Molecule: ribosomal RNA, 253 nt
Filed under: uncultured bacterium
Lineage: Bacteria
Description: partial 16S ribosomal RNA
Rfam family: Bacterial small subunit ribosomal RNA
Source: RNAcentral